GUGCUCCGUAUUGGCACCUCCAUCUCUGUGGGCUCCGGGUCGACCCUGUUUUGGUUCGACCGCUGGCUAGGGGACUCCCCCCUGGCCGCCCGCUUCCCGAGCCUUUUUGCCAUUGCGGCUGACCCUUGGAUCUCCGUCGAGACGGCCCUUAUUGACUUAGGGCGUCUCGCCUUCCGGUGCCCCUUUGGCCACCUUGAGGUGGAUGAGUGGGACUCCCUUCUCCAGGAUAUCGCUCUCCUGCCGAUGGACGUUGAGGGUGCCCCGGACUCCAUCUCUUGGCGUCUGGAGCCCUCUGGCCGCUUCUCCACGAAAUAUCUCUAUGCGGCCAUAGCCCCUUCGUUGGCCCCUGAGCCUUUUAGCCUGAUUUGGGACAUUUGCCUCCCCCUCAAGAUCAGGAUAUUCCUGUGGCAGUGGAUCCGGGGACGCCUUCCCUCUGGAUUUGAAUUCCGCAAGUGCAAUGGCCUCGGCGACGGGAUGUGUCCCCUAUGCGACAUGGUGGAGGAUUCGAACCACAUUUUGUUCUCCUGCUCCACAGCCCAGUUCCUGUGGUCCUGCUUCCGAGAGACGGUCGGUGGACAGUGGUGCAAUACCAACUUCCCCGACUUACUCACUGAGAUCCACACCUCCCCCCCUCGCUACCGCCAUAUUAGAUGGCUGUGCAUCGGGGUCCUCGCCUGGACGCUCUGGACCAUUCGCAACAAACUUGCUAUUCAGAAAGUGCCUCUGCGACGUGCGACUGACGCGAUCUUCAAAAUGUGUGGCUAUUUGCAGCUCUGGCGGCCGCUUAGCCGCCCACAGGACCGGGACGUCAUCAAAAACCUCCUCGCCGACCUUCGAUCGAUGGCCUUCCGCUUGGCGCCUCCGCUUUCGCCACCUCCACCGGAGCCUGACUAG
Molecule: ribosomal RNA, 894 nt
Filed under: Triticum aestivum (bread wheat)
Lineage: Eukaryota; Viridiplantae; Streptophyta; Magnoliopsida; Poales; Poaceae
Description: partial small subunit ribosomal RNA
Source: RNAcentral